AGUGAACGCUGGCGGUAGGCCUAACACAUGCGAGUCGAACGGCAGCACAGUAAGAGCUUGCUCUUACGGGUGGCGAGUGGCGGACGGGUGAGGAAUACAUCGGAAUCUACUUUUUCGUGGGGGAUAACGUAGGGAAACUUACGCUAAUACCGCAUACGACCUACGGGUGAAAGCAGGGGAUCUUCGGACCUUGCGCGAUUGAAUGAGCCGAUGUCGGAUUAGCUAGUUGGCGGGUAAAGGCCCACCAAGGCGACGAUCCGUAGCUGGUCUGAGAGGAUGAUCAGCCACACUGGAACUGAGACACGGUCCAGACUCCUACGGGAGGCAGCAGUGGGGAAUAUUGGACAAUGGGCGCAAGCCUGAUCCAGCCAUACCGCGUGGGUGAAGAAGGCCUUCGGGUUGUAAAGCCCUUUUGUUGGGAAAGAAAAGCAGCAGGUUAAUACCCCGCUGUUCUGACGGUACCCAAAGAAUAAGCACCGGCUAACUUCGUG
RNAcentral lists this ribosomal RNA (491 nucleotides) under uncultured bacterium. RNAcentral's name for it is "partial 16S ribosomal RNA". It matches the Rfam family "Bacterial small subunit ribosomal RNA", at positions 29 to 507 of the family's 1533-position model. The record is from RNAcentral.